RNAcentral lists this long non-coding RNA (354 nucleotides) under Setaria viridis. RNAcentral describes it as "long non-coding RNA (SVIR_LNC007120)". Lineage: Eukaryota; Viridiplantae; Streptophyta; Magnoliopsida; Poales; Poaceae. The record is from RNAcentral.
UUUGGUGCCAAUCACAUUUUGCUUUAGUCUCUCAACCAACUCCCAUACCUCAUUUCUUAUGAAGUUGUUUAAUUCUUCUUGCAUGGCCAUCAUCCAAUCCGGAUCAUCAAGUGCUUCUUCUACCUUAAAAGGCACCAAAGAGGAAACAAAUGAGUAACAUCCACAAAAGGUUGCUAAACGUGAGCGAGUAGUUACCCCUCUUUGGAUACCUCCAAUGAUGUUGUUGGUAGGAUGAUCCCGUUGAACGCUUUGAUGAACUCUAGGAAAAAGCAUUUGUGAUUGUUGUUGAAUAGGUCCAUCAUCAUCAUCUUCAACUUGUGGAUCAUCUUCUUGAGUUUGACCACCUUGUUCUCC